AAAAUGUUAUAUUUUCAAUUACUAACUUUCUUUGUGAUAUUUGCUUCCGUUCGGACUUAUAAUCCAGAAAUCAUACCAGGGUUGACUGAGGCUGAACAAAAGGAAUAUAACAUAUGCCGUACAAGUGAGGAAAAAAAAAAUUCAGUCGAACUAGGAGUGGGAUGCGGAAUACAAUGUUUUUUGCGAGUUACUGGAUCGAUUGGCAAAAAUAAAAUUAACCUUAAAAGGUUGUUUGAUCAGUAUACGGCUGAGAUGAG
RNAcentral lists this small RNA (257 nucleotides) under Drosophila ananassae. RNAcentral describes it as "GF27027". Lineage: Eukaryota; Metazoa; Arthropoda; Insecta; Diptera; Drosophilidae. The record is from RNAcentral.